GAGUGUGAGUGUGUCUCUGUGUGUGUAGGGGUCGAGGUGGGGGGGUCCGUGUUUGCGAUCUGAACCUUUGGUACCUACAAGGAGGGUGUCUCACCGAACGGUAGCUAAAACCUCACCAGAACCGCGCGGAAGUGAGAAGUCGCGGCCAAAGGCGCCCGCAGAAGCCUCCUCUCUGGGCCGGACCCCAGCCCGAGCGGCCGAAAGGAGCCCCCCGCCCGGAUCACAGCUGCUGCAGCUGCCGCUGAAAUUCGCUGUGGCCGCUGCCUCUUCCCGCUUUAAUCCCAGACCUCCAGUCAUUGGGCAGCUCCUCAGAGGCAAGAAGUCAACACCAUGGCAACCCGACAAGCCUAUCAAAUCACCGGCUGGCGUGACAGCAGCAACACUGCAGGCAGGAGUGGGCUGGGCGGAAGAGCAGAGUGGCCACUGCGCUCAGAAGUUUACAAGGAAAGGGGAAAUGUCUGAAAUGGAGAUUGCACAAUCCUGUCUUGAAGCAGAAGACUCAGCUAGAGCACAUCUGGAAACACCCGGCACUCCUCAAUAGAAUUCAAAUGCUAUUUUAAAAGAGUCCAUUUCUAAGAAGAUGUGGUUCGAACAUACAGAGCUACAUAAUAUGAGUAAAAUAGGACCUAACAGUAGUGUUCUCCAGCAUUGCUCUGCCUUUCCUUUUCUGGAUGUAACAACAUUACUAAGAAAGGAAGAAAAAGCAAAAAUCUGCUCUCGGGGAGAUUCCAGCAUGUUGGAAAGCCCCAAAUGGAAGUCUCUGCUUUGGUUACAGGACAUAAGGUUUAAUAAAUAAAAAGAUGCUCAUCUGGGAUGCUGCACCAAUUAUCAUGUACUAAAUAAGGUUACCUAAUUCACUCUCCAGGUAGAAAUGUCUAUCAUAAGCAUGUGCCACAGAAGGUCUCACAAGUAUCAUUAUUGGCUGUGUUGAAUUUUGUUUUUAGUUCUCUUUUAUAAGGUCUGUAGUCUUACUUUCAGUGAGGAAGUGUUUUCUCAGGUUCUCAAGAAAGUAACAAAAUGCCAGCAUUGUCAAGGUCACCAUUGCCACUGAAUUAUCUUACUGUCUGAUUAUUCCAUCUUCCUCUGCAUCAUAUUAGCCUGAUGACUACAUUCUAAUUAUUUAAAGCGUUAUGUAAAUCAAAGCAGUAAAUGUAAUUUCUAGUCUUACUAGAUAUCAUGUACAUUAGGUCGAAUAACUCUAGAAAUGUCGUCAUAAUCAUGUCAUGCCUAAUGAUGACCUACUCAGCCCCUGCCAACAUCAUUCAAUUACUCAUUUCAGCAUUGAUUUUUCUCAUGCCUCUCUUCAUGGCAUUUAAACAGCCCUCACAUCUCCCCUUUUACUGAGGUGUAAUGUUGUAUAAUGACAGAGAUGCUUUGCUUCCCAGAUUCAUAAUGUUACACUCUGUUUCAAAUCCUUUUGGAGACAAAUUGGGGAAUCAAUAUAUAAAUAAUGACACACUUAUUUUUAAUUAAAAUCACUGCUUUCACAGAAAUGGUAUAUUAAAAUUAUUUUUGCUAAAAAAAUUUUAAAUACCUAUGUACGAUAAAAAGACUGCCAAUCCUUGGGAUCAAGAAUAUAAUUUGCCCCAAAUAACUUUUCUAUAAAAGUAGAAUUCUUAAUGGAAAAUAGAUUAAUACACAUAAUUUCAAGAUCUAACCUUAAAAAUGGAAAUAAUGUGUCCAUUUUUAAAAAUAAAUCAUAUUUACAUA
Molecule: non-coding RNA, 1710 nt
Filed under: Pan troglodytes (chimpanzee)
Lineage: Eukaryota; Metazoa; Chordata; Mammalia; Primates; Hominidae
Source: RNAcentral